Medicago truncatula (barrel medic) is the source of this 88-nucleotide microRNA precursor. It matches the Rfam family "MIR2617 microRNA precursor family". Lineage: Eukaryota; Viridiplantae; Streptophyta; Magnoliopsida; Fabales; Fabaceae. The record is from Rfam.
AUUUGCAAUGUGGCAUGCCCGUUUGGUGCUUAACUCUGAUUAAUAUUUGUUAUUUAAUUGCUUUUGGGUAACGGGGUGUUACAGCUGA